Molecule: long non-coding RNA, 520 nt
Organism: Neogale vison (American mink)
Lineage: Eukaryota; Metazoa; Chordata; Mammalia; Carnivora; Mustelidae
Exons: 3
Source: RefSeq, a predicted model, not a curated record
AGUAUAGAGGAACCUCAAAAAAUCAGAAAUACUAAAUUAUUCAGUAAUUCAAGUACCGACUAUUUACCCAAAGAAAACAAAUACUAAUCUUAAAAAAUACACGCACCUCUAUGUUUAUUGCAGCAUUAUUUACAAUACCAAGAUACGGAAGCAAUCUAAGUUCAAUGGAUCAAUGGAUGGAGAAGAUGUGGCAUAUAAGGCUGGAGGGAAGAGGGCUUGGGAGACAAGGUGAUCAAAGCUCAAAGCGUUUCACUCCAGGAGGGUGCCGCCAAGACCCGGAGCUCUCCUCCCUCAACUCCUAGUCUAGGAGAGCUUUAUGGCAUCUUCCCAGGAGGGGCAGGCCACCAGCAGAGUAAAGCCUGGCAGAGAGAACAUCCAACUGGACGUGGAGUGGCUCUUACACAAGGAUCUGUGGCGAAUGGUGUCUACAAUAAACAAGGUUUAGGUAUCCCAUAAAAGAGACCGAAGAUUCUAGAUCACUCCUGAUAGAAUACCUACCAAGGAACUUUUUCUUUUCUUC